This 391-nucleotide unclassified non-coding RNA is filed under the name soil metagenome. RNAcentral's name for it is "partial contains 5.8S ribosomal RNA, internal transcribed spacer 2, and large subunit ribosomal RNA". The stretch from base 3 to 119 matches the Rfam family "5.8S ribosomal RNA", at positions 38 to 154 of the family's 154-position model. The record is from RNAcentral.
GAGAAGAACGUAGCGAAAUGCGAUAAGUAAUGUGAAUUGCAGAAUUCAGUGAAUCAUCGAAUCUUUGAACGCAUCUUGCGCUCCUUGGUAUUCCGAGGAGCAUGCCUGUUUGAGUGUCAUUUAACUUCUCAACCACAUUGGAUAUUUUUUUUCCGAUGCCGGCUUGGAUGUGGGGGUUGUUUGCAGGCUUUUUGUAACAAAAAAGGUCGGCUCCCCUGAAAUGUAUUAGUGGUAUCUGAGGCUAUUACUAUUAGGUGUGAUAAUUAUCUAUGCCUUUUGGGUAUGCCGCAUGAACAGAUUAUGCUGCUUCUAACGAAAACUAUUUUGAUGAAUUUGACCUCAAAUCAGGUAGGACUACCCGCUGAACUUAAGCAUAUCAAUAAGCGGAGGA